AUGGCGACCGGCGCACGGGUGAGUAACGCGUAUCCAACCUGCCCUUUACUAUGGGACAGCCCGUCGAAAGGCGGAUUAAUACCGUAUGUUGUCAUGUUGAUGCAUAUUUUCAUGACCAAAGGCUUCGGCCGGUAAAGGAUGGGGAUGCGUCUGAUUAGCUUGCCGGCGGGGUAACGGCCCACCGGGGCGACGAUCAGUAGGGGUUCUGAGGGGAAGGUCCCCCACAUUGGAACUGAGACACGGUCCAAACUCCUACGGGAGGCAGCAG
RNAcentral lists this ribosomal RNA (268 nucleotides) under uncultured bacterium. Its description in RNAcentral is "partial 16S ribosomal RNA". It matches the Rfam family "Bacterial small subunit ribosomal RNA", at positions 88 to 354 of the family's 1533-position model. The record is from RNAcentral.